GGGAGAUAGCUCAGUAUUAGAGCACAGGGCUAGCACGCCUGAGACCCCUGGUUCAAUCCCCUGGUGCUACCA
Molecule: transfer RNA, 72 nt
Filed under: Erinaceus europaeus (western European hedgehog)
Lineage: Eukaryota; Metazoa; Chordata; Mammalia; Eulipotyphla; Erinaceidae
Rfam family: tRNA
About the family: Transfer RNA (tRNA) molecules are approximately 80 nucleotides in length.
Source: Rfam by way of RNAcentral